GGGGAUAUNCAUAUAAGACGAGAAGACCCCAUGGAGCUUUAAACCUGACAGCACCCGCUCAUUCUAUACCCCAUUAUUUGCCCGACCCCUGUCUGCUCAGUUUUAGGUUGGGGUGACCACGGAGUAUAAAAUAACCUCCAUGAAGAAGGGGAUAUUUCCCUUAUUAGAGAACCACACUUCCAAGAACUAAUAAAUUAAUUUUCAAUGACCCGAUACCCGAUAAUCGAUCAACGAACCAAGUUACCCUGGGGAUAACAGCGCAAUCCACCCUGAAAGCCCUUAUUAACAGGUGGGUUUACGACCUCGAUGUUGGAUCAGGGUAUCCCAGUGGUGCAGCAGCUACUGAGGGUUCGUUUGUUCAACGAUUAAAACCCU
RNAcentral lists this ribosomal RNA (375 nucleotides) under Boophis quasiboehmei. RNAcentral's name for it is "partial 16S ribosomal RNA". It matches the Rfam family "Bacterial large subunit ribosomal RNA", at positions 2076 to 2597 of the family's 2925-position model. The record is from RNAcentral. Lineage: Eukaryota; Metazoa; Chordata; Amphibia; Anura; Mantellidae.